UCCCUGGUGGCUUAGAAGGUAAAUAAUCUGCCUGAAAUGCAGCAAACCCAGGUUUGAUCCCUGGCUCAGGAA
This 72-nucleotide transfer RNA is filed under the name Ovis aries (sheep). It matches the Rfam family "tRNA". Rfam says of the family: Transfer RNA (tRNA) molecules are approximately 80 nucleotides in length. Their secondary structure includes four short double-helical elements and three loops (D, anti-codon, and T loops). The record is from Rfam by way of RNAcentral. Lineage: Eukaryota; Metazoa; Chordata; Mammalia; Artiodactyla; Bovidae.